RNAcentral lists this transfer RNA (73 nucleotides) under Chryseobacterium sp. PMSZPI. RNAcentral describes it as "tRNA-Asp". It matches the Rfam family "tRNA". Rfam says of the family: Transfer RNA (tRNA) molecules are approximately 80 nucleotides in length. The record is from RNAcentral. Lineage: Bacteria; Pseudomonadati; Bacteroidota; Flavobacteriia; Flavobacteriales; Weeksellaceae.
GAUCCGGUAGUUCAGCUGGUUAGAAUGCCGCCCUGUCACGGCGGAGGUCGCGGGUUCGAGCCGGAUCGCAACU